RNAcentral lists this unclassified non-coding RNA (210 nucleotides) under plant metagenome. RNAcentral's name for it is "partial contains small subunit ribosomal RNA, internal transcribed spacer 1, and 5.8S ribosomal RNA". The record is from RNAcentral.
UCUCCGUUGGUGAACCGGCGGAGGGAUCAUUACUGGAAUCGCAAGAUCCCACAACCCCUGUGAACCUACCGAAACGUUGCCUCGGCGGGCGCCCGGCCCCGCGCCGGGCGCUGAGCCCGCCGGCGGCCCCCUACUCUUGUCUCUGCAGCGUAGCAUCUCAGAGUCCCAGAAAACAAGUAAAAACUUUCAACAACGGAUCUCUUGGCUCUA